GACGAACGCUGGCGGCGUGCUUAACACAUGCAAGUCGAGCGGUAAGGCCCUUUCGGGGGUACGACGAGCGGCGAACGGGUGAGUAACACGUGGGUGACCUGCCCUCAGCUCUGGGAUAAGCCUGGGAAACCGGGUCUAAUACCGGAUAUGACUCCAUGACGCAUGUUGUGGGGUGGAAAGCCUUGUGCGGCUGAGGAUGGGCCCGCGGCCUAUCAGCUUGUUGGUGGGGUGAGGCCUACCAAGGCGACGACGGGUAGCCGGCCUGAGAGGGCGACCGGCCACACUGGGACUGAGACACGGCCCAGACUCCUACGGGAGGCAGCAGUGGGGAAUCUUGCGCAAUGGGCGAAAGCCUGACGCAGCGACGCCGCGUGAGGGAUGACGGCCUCGGUUGUAAC
This 398-nucleotide ribosomal RNA is filed under the name uncultured bacterium. Its description in RNAcentral is "bacterial SSU rRNA". It matches the Rfam family "Bacterial small subunit ribosomal RNA", at positions 28 to 429 of the family's 1533-position model. The record is from RNAcentral.